This 404-nucleotide ribosomal RNA is filed under the name uncultured bacterium. RNAcentral describes it as "partial 16S ribosomal RNA". It matches the Rfam family "Bacterial small subunit ribosomal RNA", at positions 28 to 526 of the family's 1533-position model. The record is from RNAcentral.
GAUGAACGCUGACAGAAUGCUUAACACAUGCAAGUCAACUGUGGCGGACGGGUGAGUAACGCGUAAAGAACUUGCCUCACAGUUAGGGACAACAUUUGGAAACGAAUGCUAAUACCUGAUACUGUGAGAGAGCUUUGCGUCCCAUUAGCUAGUUGGAGAGGUAACGGCUCACCAAGGCGAUGAUGGGUAGCCGGCCUGAGAGGGUGAUCGGCCACAAGGGGACUGAGACACGGCCCGUACUCCGUCGGGAGGCAGCGGUGGAGAAUAUUGGACAAGGGACCAAAGUCUGAUCCAGCAAUGCUGUGUGCACGAUGAAGUUUUCGGGAUGUAAAGUGCUUUCAGUUGGGAAGCAGUACCAACAGAAGAAGUGACGGCUAAAUACGUGCCAGCAGCCGCGGUAAUUC